RNAcentral lists this long non-coding RNA (3287 nucleotides) under Nicotiana tabacum (common tobacco). RNAcentral's name for it is "long non-coding RNA (NTAB_LNC000247)". The record is from RNAcentral. Lineage: Eukaryota; Viridiplantae; Streptophyta; Magnoliopsida; Solanales; Solanaceae.
UAAAAUCCAUGAGAUCCGCCGUUUUCUGAUUUAAGAAGCUCCAGUCGCCUUCUUCAGCUGCUACACCAAAAGAGAGCCAAUGUCCAACAUCACCCUUAAACACGCCAAAAAACACACAGAAUGUAAAAGGAAAGGAAAACUCUUUCUUGCCUCCUAGCUUCUAGAUUAUCAGAAUUUUCAACACUUCGCCAAAUCCAUGGAAACGCAGUUUUGAAACUCUGCAAACCCAAUUAAUCUUCCCCAAAAUUUAGCUUCAUAAAGCCCCUGUUUUCCACUGCGAAAACCAGCAGAAAUUUCAGUUAUUGAAACAACCUUCAAACUCCAUCAAAAGCCAUGGAAAUCAGCCCCAAAACAACCCGAAAAACUGCCCAUAGUUAAACCCAGUAAGAUUCGACUUUAUCACCUCAUUCUUGUCGAGUUUUCGUCGACGAAGCUGAGAGUUCCAAUUUUGGUUCGUGUAUGUAGCGUCACUGUUUAACUUGAAAGAGCUGUAGAUUUGAGGUUCAAUUUCUCACCCCUUUCUUACUAGUUUAUGAUGCUUCAUAUUUAUGUAUUCCUUUCAAAUUAUUUUUGGAAUUGUUCUGUCAUGUCUCUUGAUCUCAAGUUUGUCACUAUACCAGAAGGUUUUAACAAUUCAAUUUUGUGCUCAAAUGAACUUAGGAUGUUCAGCUCUUAAUUUCAGUGAUAUAGUAUGAGUUAAAUCAUCUGAAGCUAAAGUAAAAUAGGUGCAUGCAGUUUCUCCUCCAUGUAUUCAGUAGUUAUUUCAUGUUAUUACUUUUAUUUUGAUGCUUACUAGUGCCUUAUUGUUUCCUCUUCAUUGAAUUAGUAGUUAGAGAUUAUUUUAAUUAAGUAGACUAUGAUAUAAUCAAAAGUGAGCUGUAGGACUGGGCUAACUUCAAUUCACGUGAAAUAGGCCGAAUGAUAUUCUUUGUGUUGGCCCCGGAGCUUUAAGACAAAUGUAUGGCUCUCAUUUAAUUAAUUUUAAUCCUUUCGAAAUCGAGGUGUGCCAUUUAGUUGAAUUUUCCAUGGCCUUCGCAAAUUUGAAAGCGCGUAGUUGCUUUAGGCACGUAAUUAAAAUUAACUUUCUUAAAUUAGAGUGUGCAUUUAUGUGACCCAAAUCCAAAUCUCAACAAUGUUAGAUAAAAUGUGUCGUGCACCGCGGGUGCAUUUAUGUGACGUGGUUCAAGACGUGUUUUAGAUGACGUUGAAUCUUUCCUAAAAAUAAUUAAACAAAAGCAGUUAUAAAGUUAAAAUUGCACAUAGGCUAAAAUAUGUUUAAAAUCAGAUAAUAGGCCAAUAAUAACAGUUGAGCUACCGUGCUAGAACCACGGAAUCCGAGAGUGCCUAACACCUUCUCCCGGGUUAAUAGAAUUCCUUACCCGGAUUUCUGUGUUCGCGGAUUGUAAAAUAAAGUCAAUCUUUUCCUCGAUUCGGGAUUUGAACCGGUGACUUGGGACACCAUAAAUUAUCCCAAGUGGCGACUCUGAUUUUUUAAAAAUAAAAUAACCCCAUUUCGAUUGUCACUUUAAAUUGGAAAAAAUUCCCUUAUAUACCCUUCCCGGGAGUGUAGUAAAAAAAGGAGGUGUGACAGUUUGUAAGUUAGAAAUAUGUUGUUGAUUAUCUUAUGUUGGUAGCCCUUUGGUUUAAAGUGCACAUUCAUUACUAUAACCUUAGUAAACAAAAUUAUCUGUUUUGGUAUAAGUGAAGUCAAAAGUAGAGAACAAUGCCACAUAAUAUAUUUGAGUUUAAUUUUUCAGUAAUAUUUUUAUAGGCCUUACUCCUUUACUGAUCUCCCAAUUUAAUUAAAAAAUGUACAAAAACAUAAAAGAAAUUCGAUUAUUUAUGCCUGUGUUAACAUAAUACGAAUAUAACAUGCAGUUAUAUAUGUUUAUUUUUAUAGGGUAUAAUAAGCAUUUGUAUACCAUAUUAAGCCUUGUGAAAUGGAAUUCUCCACCUUGAUAAUGGAAUACUAUGUUUUUUCUAUGUGUUUGCAUCUACUCAGAUUUUUCUUCACUUACCAUAUGUGUCUGGGGAGCCCAAUAUAUCCUACAUCUGAUCCCGCGUGCUAUUAUAGGGCACAUGAAUUCAUCUUUACGGCUGCAUAAUACACAAAUGCAAUUCAUACGUGGUCAGCUGGUUGCAUUUUCACUGAGGUACUUUUUGUUACAAAAUUAACUUUUCUUAUAUUGGUCCUAAUACUUUACUGCUAUCUAUAAUACAAAUACAGAACUACAAUUGUAACAUUAAAUAAUUUUUAAAAACAAUCGACUGAUUGAUAAAUAUUGUCCUGUUAUUAUGAAUUUUAACUGGUAAGAUUCCAAAAAAGAUUUUGCUUUAAUGUAUGUUAUCUUUCUUAUUUAUUGUUUUCUUUUUAUACACAUAUUCUCUCAUUUUUCUCUUUACCUUCCCAUUAUAUCAUUAAUCCACCAAAUCACUAACGGCUAAUUCCAAAUAAAAAAUAAAUCCCUACUAAUCCUCCUAUACUCAUUCAAAUUUUUGAUACUCAUAUUUUAUUUUUUUCAAGAUCUCCAGCCAUUCAAUUUACCCCUAUAAAUACAAGAAAGACAACGUACAAGGAAGAUGAGAGGCAGAUUCAAAAUAACACAAAACAUAACUUCAUGAAGAGGUGCAGUUUUUAAGCAUCAGGUUUAAUCCUAAACUAUACAUUAUUCUCUUAUUGUUCUACACAAAUCACAUUCCUUUGCACAAAUAGAUAUUGUCUCUAAAGUAGCAUAAAUAUUUAAGCAUAUAAAAUAAUACAUUCUUAUAGAGAUAUAAAUUAAAUAUACAUUAAUAAUAUAAUUCAACAUAUGCUUAUAACUGCACAAUAAAAUUUGUUUUACAUUAGGUAGGAUUUCUAUAAUGGAUAAACAGAUUAUAGAUCAACGACAUCAAACUUCCUUGAAUAAUGUCAAGGUAAAUUAUUUAAUUAAUGCUUAAUUAAAUAAUUUAAUUACUUUACUAUUCUUAGCUAUAUUAACACUACAAUUCGUCUUUUGUUACAGAUGUGAAAAAACAACCUGAAAGUUCCUUGGAUGAGAUGUACACAAGAAUCACACAAAUGCGAAAAGAAUAUUUGAAGUAUGAACAAGAACAACUUAGAAGCGAAUUAUAUAAAGGAGUAUUACCGGAUACAACAUGCAAAGAAUGACUAUUUAUUCGAAUAUUAUGUUAUUGCAUUUACAAAAUUUAAGUUUACAUUAUUACAAAUAAAUGUUAUUUACAUACCAUUUAUCGACGUUGAAAUUAAUGGACUUCGUUUUCACCAUAUUAAAUAUACAACGCGG